RNAcentral lists this ribosomal RNA (18 nucleotides) under Rhizosphaera kalkhoffii. Its description in RNAcentral is "partial 28S ribosomal RNA". The record is from RNAcentral. Lineage: Eukaryota; Fungi; Ascomycota; Dothideomycetes; Dothideales; Dothideaceae.
UGACCUCGAUAGAGACCG